GAGUGAUGAUAGGCAUUUCCCUCUGAGAGGUGAUGAUAGGCAUUCCCCUCUGAGAGGUGAUGAUAGGCAUUUCCCUUUGAGGAGUGGUAAUAGACAUUUCCCUUUGAUGAGUGAUGAUAGGCAUUUCCCUCUGACUUUGAGAGGUGAUGGUAGGCAUUUCCCUUUGAUGAGUGAUGAUAGGCAUUUCCUCUGAGAGCUGAUGAUAGGCAUUUCCCUCUGAGAGGUGAUGAUAGGCAUUUCCCACUGAGAGGUGAUCAUAGGCAUUUUCCUUUGAUGAGUGAUGAUAGGCAUUUCCCCCUGAGAGGUGAUGAGAGGCAUUUCCCUCUGAGAGGUGAUGGGAGGCAUUUCCCUCUGAGAGGUAAUGGUAGGCAUUUUCCUUUGAGGAUUGAUGAUAGGCAUUUCCCUCUGAGAUGUGAUGAUAGGCAUUUCCCUUUGAUGAGUGAUGAUAGGCAUUUCCCUCUGAGAGGUGAUGAGAGGCAUUUCCCUCUGACUUUGAGAGGUGAUGGUAGGCAUUUCCUUUUGAUGAGUGAUGAUAGGCAUUUCCCUCUGAGAAGUGAUGAUAGGCAUUUCCCUUUGACUUUGAGGAGUGAUGAUAGGCAUUUCCCUCUGAGGAGUGAGGAGUGAUGAUAGGCAUUUCCCUCUGAGGAGUGAGGAGGGGCAUUUCCCUUAGAGAGGUGCUGGGUGUAUCUCCUUGACUUGUCGUGGAGGCUUUGCUGGAGGGGUUUCUGCUACCUUUUUAGACAGCUGUAACAGCUUAUGGCCUCGUGGAAAGUGGUUCAUGACUAAAAUAUAAAUAAUGACAUAAGUUAUUACAUAUAAUAAAGAAAUGUUACUUCUAAAGUGAAAGUAAAUCUGAAUGAUU
Aplysia californica (California sea hare) is the source of this 862-nucleotide long non-coding RNA. RefSeq lists it as uncharacterized. The record is from RefSeq and is a predicted model, not a curated record. The transcript is spliced from 2 exons. NCBI's taxonomy places the organism in Eukaryota, Metazoa, Mollusca, Gastropoda, Aplysiida, Aplysiidae.